RNAcentral lists this long non-coding RNA (407 nucleotides) under Carica papaya (papaya). RNAcentral describes it as "long non-coding RNA (CPAP_LNC011708)". Lineage: Eukaryota; Viridiplantae; Streptophyta; Magnoliopsida; Brassicales; Caricaceae. The record is from RNAcentral.
AGGAAAUCCAUGGAUUGCAAGAGGGUGAAAAGGAACGCUGGUUGGAGCUCGAUUAAACUAAAUGGUAUUGCUCAUGAGUUUGUUGCAGGAGAUGAUUUGCAUCCUCAAACCCAGGAGAUAUACCUAGUUCUAAAUGGAAUUACAGAACAUCAACUUCAAGCAUGACCCGAAACAACUCCCAGUUGAGAUUAGGAAAUCCAUGGAUUGCAAGAGGGUGAAAAGGAACGCUGGUUGGAGCUCGAUUAAACUAAAUGGAAUUGCUCAUGAGUUUGUUGCAGGAGAUGAUUUGCAUCCUCAAACCCAGGAGAUAUACCUAGUUCUACAUGGAAUUACAGAACAUCAACUUCAAGCAUGACCCGAAACAACUCCCAGUUGAGAUUAGGAAAUCCAUGGAUUGCAAGAGGGUG